ACAGUGGACGCGAGCAUCUGUGGCCAAGUUUUUAAGGGCGCACGGUGGAUGCCUUGGCACCAGGAACCGAUGAAGGACGUGGGAGGCCACGAUAGUCCCCGGGGAGCUGUCAACCAAGCUUUGAUCCGGGGGUUUCCGAAUGGGGAAACCCGGCAGUCGUCAUGGGCUGUCACCCGCUGCUGAACACAUAGGCAGUGUGGAGGGAACGAGGGGAAGUGAAACAUCUCAGUACCCUCAGGAAGAGAAAACAACCGUGAUUCCGGGAGUAGUGGCGAGCGAAACUGGAUGAGGCCAAACCGUAUGCGUGUGAUACCCGGCAGGGGUUGCGCAUGCGGGGUUGUGGGAUCUCUCUUUCACGGUCUGCCGGCUGUGAGACGAGUCAGAAACCGUUGAUGUAGGCGAAGGACAUGCGAAAGGUCCGGCGUAGAGGGUAAGACCCCCGUAGCUGAAACAUCAGCGGCUUGUUUGAGAGACACCCAAGUAGCACGGGGCCCGAGAAAUCCCGUGUGAAUCUGGCGGGACCACCCGCUAAGCCUAAAUAUUCCCUGGUGACCGAUAGCGGAUAGUACCGUGAGGGAAUGGUGAAAAGUACCGCGGGAGCGGAGUGAAAUAGUACCUGAAACCGUGUGCCUACAAGCCGUGGGAGCGUCGCGCAUCGAGCUUGCUCGGUGCGUCGUGACUGCGUGCCUUUUGAAGAAUGAGCCUGCGAGUUAGCGGUGUGUAGCGAGGUUAACCCGUGUGGGGAAGCCGUAGCGAAAGCGAGUCCGAACAGGGCGUUUGAGUUGCACGCUCUAGACCCGAAGCGGAGUGAUCUAGCCAUGGGCAGGUUGAAGCGGAGGUAAGACUUCGUGGAGGACCGAACCCACCAGGGUUGAAAACCUGGGGGAUGACCUGUGGUUAGGGGUGAAAGGCCAAUCAAACUCCGUGAUAGCUGGUUCUCCCCGAAAUGCAUUUAGGUGCAGCGUCGUGUGUUUCUUGCCGGAGGUAGAGCACUGGAUAGGCGAUGGGCCCUACCGGGUUACUGACCUUAGCCAAACUCCGAAUGCCGGUAAGUGAGAGCGCGGCAGUGAGACUGUGGGGGAUAAGCUCCAUGGUCGAGAGGGAAACAGCCCAGAGCAUCGACUAAGGCCCCUAAGCGUACGCUAAGUGGGAAAGGAUGUGGAGUCGCAGAGACAACCAGGAGGUUGGCUUAGAAGCAGCCACCCUUGAAAGAGUGCGUAAUAGCUCACUGGUCAAGUGAUUCCGCGCCGACAAUGUAGCGGGGCUCAAGCGUACCGCCGAAGUCGUGUCAUUCAUACACAUAUCCUCAACGGGAGUAUGGAUGGGUAGGGGAGCGUCGUGUGCCGGGUGAAGCAGCCGCGGAAGCGAGUUGUGGACGGUUCACGAGUGAGAAUGCAGGCAUGAGUAGCGAUACACACGUGAGAAACGUGUGCGCCGAUUGACUAAGGGUUCCUGGGUCAAGCUGAUCUGCCCAGGGUAAGUCGGGACCUAAGGCGAGGCCGACAGGCGUAGUCGAUGGACAACCGGUUGAUAUUCCGGUACCCGCUUUGAAACGCCCAGUACUGAAUCAGGCGAUGCUAAGUCCGUGAAGCCGGCCCGAUCUCUUCGGAGUUGAGGGUAGUGGUGGAGCCGAUGAACCAGACUUGUAGUAGGUAAGCGAUGGGGUGACGCAGGAAGGUAGUCCAGCCCGGGCGGUGGUUGUCCCGGGGUAAGGGUGUAGGACGCACGGUAGGCAAAUCCGUCGUGCAUAUAGUCUGAGACCUGAUGCCGAGCCGAUUGUGGUGAAGUGGAUGAUCCUAUGCUGUCGAGAAAAGCCUCUAGCGAGUUUCAUGGCGGCCCGUACCCUAAACCGACUCAGGUGGUCAGGUAGAGAAUACCGAGGCGUUCGGGUGAACUAUGGUUAAGGAACUCGGCAAAAUGCCCCCGUAACUUCGGGAGAAGGGGGGCCAUCACUGGUGAU
Molecule: ribosomal RNA, 1960 nt
Filed under: Streptomyces parvus
Lineage: Bacteria; Bacillati; Actinomycetota; Actinomycetes; Kitasatosporales; Streptomycetaceae
Description: partial 23S ribosomal RNA
Rfam family: Bacterial large subunit ribosomal RNA
Source: RNAcentral